Molecule: ribosomal RNA, 436 nt
Filed under: uncultured bacterium
Lineage: Bacteria
Description: bacterial SSU rRNA
Rfam family: Bacterial small subunit ribosomal RNA
Source: RNAcentral
GACGAACGCUGGCGGUGUGCUUCACACAUGCAAGUCGAACGAGGUAGCAAUACCUAGUGGCGGACGGGUGAGUAACGCGUGGGAAUCUGCCUUUAGAUGGGGGAUAACGGGUCGAAAGACUCGCUAAUACCGCAUAUGACGAAAGUUGAAAGGAGUAAUCCGUCUAAAGAUGAGCCCGCGUCCGAUUAGCUAGUUGGUAGAGUAAAAGCCUACCAAGGCGACGAUCGGUAGCUGGUCUGAGAGGAUGAUCAGCCACAAUGGGACUGAGACACGGCCCAUACUCCUACGGGAGGCAGCAGUGGGGAAUUUUACGCAAUGGGCGAAAGCCUGACGUAGCGACACCGCGUGAGCGAAGAAGCCCCUUGGGGUGUAAAGCUCUGUCAGCUGGAACGAAAAAAUGACGGUACCAGCAGAGGAAGCAUCGGCUAACUACGUG